Molecule: ribosomal RNA, 257 nt
Filed under: uncultured bacterium
Lineage: Bacteria
Description: partial 16S ribosomal RNA
Rfam family: Bacterial small subunit ribosomal RNA
Source: RNAcentral
UGGCGACGGGUGAGUAACGCGUGGGCAACCUGCCCCGUACCGGGGGAUAACAGCCGGAAACGGCUGCUAAUACCGCAUACGCUUGGAAGGCCGCAUGGCUUUUCAAGCAAAACUCCGGUGGUACGGGAUGGGCCCGCGUCUGAUUAGCUUGUUGGCGGGGUAACGGCCCACCAAGGCGACGAUCAGUAGCCGGCCUGAGAGGGCGGCCGGCCACAUUGGGACUGAGACACGGCCCAGACUCCUACGGGAGGCAGCAG